RNAcentral lists this ribosomal RNA (585 nucleotides) under uncultured bacterium. RNAcentral's name for it is "bacterial SSU rRNA". It matches the Rfam family "Bacterial small subunit ribosomal RNA", at positions 338 to 916 of the family's 1533-position model. The record is from RNAcentral.
CCUACGGGAGGCAGCAGUGGGGAAUUUUGGACAAUGGGCGCAAGCCUGAUCCAGCCAUUCCGCGUGCAGGAUGAAGGCCCUCGGGUUGUAAACUGCUUUUGUACAGAACGAAAAGGUUUCUACUAAUACUAGGAGCUCAUGACGGUACUGUAAGAAUAAGCACCGGCUAACUACGUGCUAGCAGCCGCGGUAAUACGUAGGGUGCAAGCGUUAAUCGGAAUUACUGGGCGUAAAGCGUGCGCAGGCGGUUAUAUAAGUCAGAUGUGAAAUCCCCGGGCUCAACCUGGGAACUGCAUUUGAGACUGUAUAGCUAGAGUACGGCAGAGGGGGAUGGAAUUCCGCGUGUAGCAGUGAAAUGCGUAGAUAUGCGGAGGAACACCGAUGGCGAAGGCAAUCCCCUGGGCCUGUACUGACGCUCAUGCACGAAAGCGUGGGGAGCAAACAGGAUUAGAUACCCUGGUAGUCCACGCCCUAAACGAUGUCAACUGGUUGUUGGGUCUUAACUGACUCAGUAACGAAGCUAACGCGUGAAGUUGACCGCCUGGGGAGUACGGCCGCAAGGUUGAAACUCAAAUGAAUUGACGG